GAACUCAGCUGGGCUCACGCUGCUGCUGCCAGAGUGACAGCUGCUGCUUCACUAAGAACAUCUGAGACUGCCAGAGGGGGUGAGAGGGAAGAUCGGGGCAAGAGUCCAGCCCUGCACAGAUCCAUUGCUACCACUGAACUUGUGGGGCUCCCAGAACAGUUGCUGCCUUCUGUUGUGUUAGAAUUUUACCCGAUGCAAGCCAUAUCCUUCUGCCUGGGCCAAGACAAACUCCUCAGCUGUUAGGUGGUGAAGUUAAGUUAUUGUCCUUGGUAAGUAUGUGUUGCUUUCCAGAGGAAAAUUUUAAUUUGUUCCUGUUGGUAUCCUGGUACAAAGUUAGAGUUUUUAG
RNAcentral lists this long non-coding RNA (346 nucleotides) under Calidris pugnax (ruff). RNAcentral describes it as "lncRNA (ENSCPUG00000014960.1)". Lineage: Eukaryota; Metazoa; Chordata; Aves; Charadriiformes; Scolopacidae. The record is from RNAcentral.